This is a long non-coding RNA of Selaginella moellendorffii, 489 nucleotides long. RefSeq lists it as uncharacterized. Lineage: Eukaryota; Viridiplantae; Streptophyta; Lycopodiopsida; Selaginellales; Selaginellaceae. The record is from RefSeq and is a predicted model, not a curated record. The transcript is spliced from 4 exons.
GGCUGUGGAGAUCGAGGCCCUUGGAUCGCUUUUCCAGGGCCCGUGGGAGAAGAGGUAGUGGAGCAGCUCUCGGAGAUCUGGCGAGGAAGGGAGGCAUACGCGAUGGCAAUCCGAGAGGAUAAGCUCGGGCCUUUGUUUGCGGUACGCUGCGGGGAAGCGAUGAUGAAAAUCCAGCAUCCAGGAACUCGUUCAAUGGCGAGGAGAUGGUUGGCGUUGCGGUGCAGUAUCUCCUACGUGAACUAGUUUCUGCUUCAUCGAAAAAAGACGAGACAGAAGUCAAUGUCCAAAGUUCGUCCAGCGCUCGUUCUCCAGAGUUGUUUCGAUCUUCAGUGAUUUGGGAAGGAAAUAGGAAGCGAGUGUUAUCUCCGCGGCCAGGAGACGAGGGUGUGAGGUCGUCUCAAUGACUGAAAACAGACAAGAACUCGCAAGAGCGUCACGGUGCAGAAGAUUCUUGUAAGUUUUUAAUUCGAUUUUGCUUCUUUUGAUAAA